RNAcentral lists this ribosomal RNA (397 nucleotides) under uncultured bacterium. Its description in RNAcentral is "partial 16S ribosomal RNA". It matches the Rfam family "Bacterial small subunit ribosomal RNA", at positions 523 to 918 of the family's 1533-position model. The record is from RNAcentral.
AUACGUAGGUGACAAGCGUUAUCCGGAUUUACUGGGCGUAAAGGGCGUGUAGGCGGUCUUGCAAGUCAGUAGUGAAAUUCCUGAGCUCAACUCGGGCGCUGCUUCUGAAACUGCAGGACUUGAGUGCUGGAGGGGAGAGCGGAAUUCCUAGUGGAGCGGUAAAAUGCGCAGAUAUUAGGAAGAACACCGGUGGCGAAGGCGGCUAUCUGGACAGUAACUGACGCUGAGGCGCGAAAGCGUGGGGAGCAAACAGGAUUAGAUACCCUGGUAGUCCACACUGUAAACGAUGAAUGCUAGGUGUAGGGGGUAUCGACCCCUUCUGUGCCGCAGUCAACACAAUAAGCAUUCCGCCUGGGGAGUACGGCCGCAAGGUUGAAACUCAAAUGAAUUGACGGGG